UAUCGAUCUUGCUAAGAAUUCAUGGAUGUCAUUAGACUCUAACGGAAGCAAAUCAAGUUCAUACUCUUCUUUCGUAUGUGCACACACCUCUGUCUUCACCCGUGGUCCUUGAAAUGUUGACUGUUAGAGAACAGAGGACGUUAAAUUUUUGUGAUGUUGUGUUAUGUGGACAAUAUUUAAUCCAGUUGUUAAUGCUUGGGCAGGCACAAAGGUUUGAUACAAGCAGCUUCUCAUGCUCAGAAUAAGAUGGAUGGACCGCCAACUGUUGAGGAUGAUAUUUGUUCAAAAUCGGGAAGCAAUUCUUGGUAGACUUUAAGUAUGUAGUUACGUUUUGAUAUAUUAGCCGAAUCUUCUCCCAAAGAAAAACACCUCCCAUGCGAGGAGCCUUUGAUGAACGAGUAUGUCAUGAAUAUCCUUGUACUGUCUUUUCAUACUACCUUCGUCCAAGUGUAUAGGACAUGCGCGUAGUUUUAGGUUAUCAAUUUAACUAGCUAAAUAUAUAUUAUAUACGAUAAAAAUUAUAUAUUAAAAAACUACAUCUUCGCAUGAAUCUAAUGAUAUAUUAUUUGUUACAUAUAAUACAUAUUUAAAUAGUUAAAUUAACGAUCUAGAACUACACGCAUACCCUAUACACUUGGACGGAGGGAGUACUAUUAAUUAGAGGGAUCCAUAUUUAUAGGAUCGGGAUAACUCCCUCGCGCAGGGGCGACUCGGGCGGAUCCCGCACAGCCGCCACCCAUUCCUCUUCUGAUCUUGCUCCCCA
Molecule: long non-coding RNA, 763 nt
Filed under: Hordeum vulgare
Lineage: Eukaryota; Viridiplantae; Streptophyta; Magnoliopsida; Poales; Poaceae
Description: long non-coding RNA (HVUL_LNC005454)
Source: RNAcentral